CCGGCCCGACCCAUGGACAGGUCUAAUACUAUCCUGAUUUUUCACAUUCCAAUGAUCAGACUCAAAAACAAUAAAAGAAAUAAAGAAUAACACAACCCUAAAGAAAACUUUCCCUCUUCAAUUUUUUUGUGUCACCGUACUUUUCUCCCCUAAUGGAUUUUAGUAUCCAGAUUUGCAAUCUGCAUCGUAUCUUUAUUUCUUCAAUCCAUCCAUUUCUGAGUUCCUUGGAUUUAUGGUAUCCCUUUUCCUUCUCUAGACUCAGCCUUUCACUCAAUAACAACUUCUUUUAAUCAUUUCUCCUAUUUACUCUGAUUAUAAUGGCCUCAAUCUCUAAUGAUGUUUCUUCCAUCCAAAAAUACGGCCCAGUGUACAUAAAUGCUUUUUUAAAUGUAAUCUACAAUAAACAAUGCAACGUAAGGUUUGAAAUUAAUUAUACAAUUGAUGUACAUAAUAAAUUGUGUAUAUUAAAAUAAAAAUAUAUCAAUAAUAAAACUUUAAUUGAGUCAUAAAUUUAAUGUUUUAGUAAUCCAAUUGGUGCGGUUUCAAAUCCCAGCACAUGCAUGUAACAAAAAAAGGCUAUCAAAGAAACUCUAUCACUUAUAUACAUGCAAAUAACACAUAAAAUAUGUACAAUAUUGAGAUGAAAAAACAUAUAAUAAAUAUUCAGAUGUAUGAUUUGAAAUUAAUUAAUUAUAAUAACACAUAAAAUAUGUACAAUAUUGAAAUGAAAAAAGAAUCAAAAUAAAGCUUUGGUUUAAUAGUAAAUUUAUGAUUUUAUUAGAGUGGACUCAAAUCCAACCACAUAUAUAUAUUUUUAAAAUAAAAAAAUAAAAAAUCUUUAAAUAAUAUAAUUUAUUUUAAUUAUAAAAGAAGAUUUUCACAAUUUAAUUCAUAGUAGAAACUUAAAUAAUACUAUAAAUAUAAUAAAAAAUAAAUUAAAUAUGUGUCUAAUAUCAAUUCUAAAUUAUUUACUGAAAUAAUAUUAAAAUUUUGAGAGAGGAGAGAAAAUUUGAUUUAUAAAAAACCGAUUUUUCCUUUUUUAACGUCGGUCAUUUUAUCCGGGUCGGAUCAAAUCAGCUGGAACGUGCAGAUAGAAACCGAUUUUCCACUAUUUUAACAUCAACCAAAUAUUGCAAAAAUCAAUCACCUUCCGGUCUGAGUAUAUUGAUUUUAACAUCAGAUCAAAUCAGAUAUUCGAUUUUCAGUUUUUGUAGAUAAGAUCAAAUUGCAUCACGACAGUUACACGUAAGGGUUAAAAUCUACCACAAGUCUUGAACUUUUUGUAAGUUUAAAAUUUAGUCCUUAUGUUUUUUUUUUAUAAAUUUAAUCUAUUUACUUUUUAGAUUUUAAAAUAUAUGUUCAACUGCUAACAUUGUUAUAAUUAUGUUGUUAAAUUUAAGUUCAUUACAACAUUAUUUUUCUAGUUACAUUGAUUGUAAAUGAGUUUUUUUUAUACAUCAAAAUGUCACACUAAUAAAUUUAACAGAAAAAAUUAACAAUGUUAAUAAAUUGACUUAAAUUUUGAAAUUUAAAAAGUAGAGGAAUUAAAUUUCUAAAAAUAAAAGUACAAAGAUUAAAUUCCAAAUUUUAUAAGAAGUUUAAAAACCUAUAACAUAUUUUAACCAGAUAUAUACUAUACAUAUUUUAACAAAAUAAAGAAAAACCAUGCACGAUAUGUGUUUUCUUUAACCUCCUCAACACUAUCAACUCAGUCAAUGGCUCGUCAUAUAUCAUCAAUAAUAACCAAAUUUAAGGAAUCAUCAUAUGUCAAUUUAGCAAUUUUAUCUGCUACUCCAUUCACCUCACCAAGAAUGUAUUAAACAAAGCUUGAAUAUUGUUUUAAAAAAUAAGAAUUUCAAAUAAUAUAAAUUUAUUUUUCAUAGAAUUAGGUUACAUCGGACCAAGAUGACAUUGCAUCAACUCAACAUCCUUAGAGAAAAAAAAAAAGGGUAAACUACAUUGGUAGUAACUAAACUAUUAGUAUUUAUUUUUCGUCACUCAACUAUGAAAAGUUACAAAAUAAUUAUUCACCUAGUCGGCUUUUUCUUUUUUGGUCACUUAACUACUCGAAGUUUUCCUUUUUGCUCACCACCCGUUAAAUUACUAAUGGAAAAAAUGUAACACCCCUUACCCGAGACCGUUUCCGGAGUCGAGCACGAGGCAUUACUUAGCUUAUCUUACCAAUUCGGAGCAUAAAAACUAGGUUUGAAAAUUUAUUUCAUUAUUCGCAGCAAAUCUGUCUAAUCACGCAGCAGUUACUAAAUUAAUUAUAACUUGAGCUAAAGAACUCGAAAUUUAAUCCCGUAAAUUUUCCCUGAAACUAGACUCAUAUAUCUACUCACCAUAAAAUUUUUAGAAUUUUUUGUUCAGCAAAUUAGUACAUUUUAUUAGUUAAAGUCUCCCCUGUGUCACCACCAGACUGCCCUGACCUCUAGUCACUAAAAAUAAGUUUUCUCACUAUAGGAUUUUCAUAUGAAGUUCUUACUUGUUUCUAUAGAAAAUAGACUCAUUAAGGAAUCUAAGCAUGUAAAUUUCAACUCAUAACCAUUUUUUUACAAUUUGUAAUUAUUUUCUAAACUCAGAAUAGGGGACUCCAAAAACAGUUCUGACCCUAUCUUACAAAAAUUCACAUAUCUUAAAAUAUAAAUUUCUUUUUUCUACACCGUUAUUUUUCCAUGAAAUAGACUCAACAAGCUUUAAUUCCAUAUAUCAUUCACCCUCUAAUUCAUUUUAUACUAUCUUGGGUGAUUUUUCAAAUUCACGUCACUGUGCUGCCUGAAUUCUGUUUCUUUGCAAAAUUUUAUCCUUUCAUGAUUUCCAUGCAUAAUUUAUCACCUAAUCUUUCAUAACAACAAACACCUUCAUCCUUAAUCAUUUUAAUAACCAUACAUCAUCAAAUACUUACACAUCACUCAUUAGCAAAAUCAUCACUACAAACAUACAAAAUAACUAAAUCCCUAUACAUGCCAUAACUUAAACGUGUUUCGAUAUAAAAUACCGAGCAGUUGUAGUUGAUAGUGUGGACGAUCUCCGACUUCUUUAGGAUCCUUGAAGUAGCUUUGCAAUACUAUAAGAGAAAGAGAAAUAAAAGAAGUAAGCAUAAAGCUUAGUAAGUUUACUAGCAAAUAAAUAACAAUAUUUAACUUAAAUAAUUAAACUCAAUGACUAUAUCUCUAGUUUACUCUUUAGUUAAUCUCAUACUAGUUCUCUUACUUGUUUACUUAGAAUAUUUGUGUGCAUAACUUACUCAAUCCUUGCUGCAUCGUUGAACAUCAAUUGAUAGUAUAAUAAGUUCUUAAGUCUUACAACUUACCUGAGCUUACCAUUUAUGCUUUAAACUGAACUUUCAUGAACAUGAUUCGUUUACAAGCCCGUUGAACUACAUUGGAAUAAUAAGGAUACUCGGGUCUCUUCUGAUAAUAACAUGCCAAAGCCAUGUCCCAGACAUGGUCUUACAUGGGAUGUUCUCGUGAUGGUGCCCAUGCCAUGUCCCAGACAUGGUCUUAUAGGGGACCUCUCAUCUCGGUGCCAACGCCAUGUCCCAGACAUGGUCUUACAUGGGACCUCUCGUCUCGGUGCCCAUGCCAUGUCCCAGACAUGGUCUUACAGGGGACCUCUCAUGAUCUUAAGGAUGCCAAUGCCAUGUCCCAGACAUGGUCUUACAUGGGAUCUCUUUACCCAAAUGUCAUGACAUUCGUAUCCAGUACCAUCCUUAUGUAUCAACGGGACUUUUAAAUUUUUAUUCUCUAUCAUUUCAUGCUUGGAUCAUCAUCAAAUAAAUUCAUAAUUGCUGGAAAUUAACAGCAUUAAUAAUAAAUAUUGAAAUAUUGCAUUUAUUUACCGUAAACUUACCUCGGUAACAAUUAUAGCCAAAUUCACCAACUUAGUCUUCAACUUUAUUCUUCCCUUUGUCUAACCUCGAGUUUCGUACUUCUUGAUCUAAAAUAGUAAAUUUAACUUAUUUAAUAAUCACAUUCAUCAAAACAGCCCUCGACUCUAACUUUUUUAAAAUUACAAAUUUGCCCCUAAACUUUUACAUAAUUACAUUUUUGCCCCAAGGCUCGGAAAUUAAACUUCAUCUCUUAUUCUUAUGUUUUAUAACAUUCUGAACAUUUUUCCCUUCUAUGGCAACAUCAAAUUCUAAUUUAAUCCCUUAUCAAUACUAAUUUUAUUUUUCCCAAUCUAACUCUAUAUUCUCUCUUAAUUCUUACUAUAAAGUCAAUUUAAUUCCUCAAUUUCACCAUAAAUCCCUAAUUUCGGGAUUCUUUCAAUUUAAUCCCUAUCGAUUCAAAACUUAUAUUUUAUUUUACAAUUACGUUCUUUACUAACUUCUAACUUGAAAUUAAAUCAAUUUAACCCCUAACUAAACCUAUAUAUUUUUCUUUCUCAAUUCAUACCCUUAUUCUACCCAAUUUCUUGCUAAACUCAUAUUUAACUAUUUAAUUUUUAUCAUGUUUUCAUAAUUCCGAAUUUAUUUCAAAUUAAUCCCUAAAAUUCAAAACUUAUAGUUUAGUUUACAAUUCAAUCCUUUAUUCAAUUCCAAUCAAAAUUUCUAUCAAAUACAUCCCUAAUUUAACAAUUUAUUCAACAUGAACCAUGCUUAAUAAUCUACUAACUUCCAAAAUUUCAACUUAAUCAAGUAGUAUUUUGUUCUAGGAUUUCAAAAAAAUAUCAAAAUUAAGAGAAAAUGGGAUUAAAUUGACUUACCAAAUUACUUUGAACCUUAAAACCCCAAAUUUCCCUUUUUCUUUUCUUUUCUUUCUUUCUUUCCUUCCUUCCUUCUCUGUUUCUUUUUGCUCUCUGUUUCUUUCUUUCUCCCUUCUCUGUUUUGUUUUGCUCUCUGUUUCUUUUCUUUCUUUCUUUGUCAUAUAUAUAUAAUAAUAAUAUAAUAUAAUAUAAUAUAAUAUAAUAUAAU
Molecule: long non-coding RNA, 4915 nt
Filed under: Gossypium barbadense (sea-island cotton)
Lineage: Eukaryota; Viridiplantae; Streptophyta; Magnoliopsida; Malvales; Malvaceae
Description: long non-coding RNA (GBAR_LNC015998)
Source: RNAcentral